Molecule: long non-coding RNA, 1335 nt
Filed under: Mus caroli (Ryukyu mouse)
Lineage: Eukaryota; Metazoa; Chordata; Mammalia; Rodentia; Muridae
Description: lncRNA (MGP_CAROLIEiJ_G0006470.1)
Source: RNAcentral
GUAAGUAUGUUAAGCACAUAUAACACUGAACUCACUCCAGACCCUCCUUGGAUGCCUUUUAUCACACUGCAAAAGCAAACUUCUUUAAAAAGCUUAACAGUCCAUUGGAUUGAGCAAAAUUGUACAUGUAUUCUUAAAAAAAGGGACAGGUUAUUUUUUUUUUUUUCUGUCUCCCAGUUAUUCUAAAUGAUAUUACAAAAAAAAAAUAGUUACAUAAGAAACAAAGAUUUUGGGCUGGAGAGAUUUUAUUACUCAAAACAAAGACUUGUAGAACAAGCUUUUGAAGAAGUUAAAAAUUUGGCAAUUUUAUUUGUGCUGAGGACAGAACCCAGGGUUUUGUAUUUACUAUACAGGCAUUCUACCACUGAGCUACAUCCCCAGCCACAGCACAUUUAAUAAGAUAUUGUUAAAAAAGAUUUGUUUUAUUUUAUGAGAGUUUUGCCUACACAUAUGUAUAUUCACUAUGCUGGGUGCCCAAGGUGAUUAAAAGAGCGCAUCAGAUCCUCUGGAACUGUAGUAAUAGGUGGGUGUGAGGUACCAUGUGGGUGCUGGCAAUGAACCUGGGUCUUCUGCAAGAGCAGCCAGUGCUCUUAACUGCUUAGCUACCUCUCCUUGCCAAUUUAACUUUAAAAUUAUUUAUUUUAAAGGUACUAUGUAGGAUAUUAAUCUUGGUCCCAGGUAUUUGCUUUAAAUUUAUUUGCACACAUGCAAAUAAAUAAUUUUGAUUUUCAUUUACUAUGAGGUGAUUCUAAAGCUUUGUACUAAGUUUUUUUUGUUUGUUUUUAAAUAGCACAGCAAGAAGGAUGCCUGUUGUAUGGUCCUUACAGAAGUCAGCUUGUACGAUUAUAUGCAUCUGUUUUGAGCAAUCUGUUACCAUUGUGAUGCAUUUCUCGUAUUGAUUCAGUUUGUUAUAGGUCACAUGAGAAGUCUUACUUUUGUAUCAUUUGCAAUGGGUAACCCCAAAUUCAGUGGAAAUAUUUUUCUUUUUUAUCACACCCUAAGGUCUUUACAGUGUUUCUACAUAUUAAAUUUAUUCUGUAAGGCUAAGAUUUAUCGCCAGUGGGAAAUUCAAAGGAAUGGACUAUGGGUCAGUCAAGCAGCUCCCACGAGGCCCAGCUGUCUGAGCAAGGCAUAAGGCUAGCCAUUAGCCCAUCCAAAGGACAUCAUGUGGAACAAAAAACUUUAUAGGUAAUUUUUUGGGUUUUUUUUUGGUACUACUUUUUAAGUAACAGUUUUAUACUUAAGCUGGAAUGCAACUCUGCUCCCAUUUUUAACAACAGAUGUAAUGCCUAGAGAUUAAGAACAGUUUGGGGGGCAGGGCACUCACAUGAAUCC